Long non-coding RNA from Penaeus indicus, 368 nucleotides. RefSeq lists it as uncharacterized. Lineage: Eukaryota; Metazoa; Arthropoda; Malacostraca; Decapoda; Penaeidae. The transcript has 3 exons. The record is from RefSeq and is a predicted model, not a curated record.
AAAGCAUUACUAUUAGUAGUAGUAUGUCUAUACGCUUGGAAAUAUGAACAAAACUCUAUAUACCAUCCUAUAGUUCGGAUAGAAACUCUUGUUGUGUUCUUUUGAGGAAAUAAAUAUUCGGCGAUACAGAAAAUACUUGUAAACUUGUGAUCAACUCUUCCAUGAUCUGACAGACGAGCCGAUUCGCGAGACGAAAUGGACGCCUCAAACACUCUCGUUGUGAUGGUUCUCUUGGCCCUGCUGAGUACAGGACGGAGCUGCGAGUGGGGCGCCGGUCAGGAGCUGAGGAGGUUCGUGCGAGUGCGGGAGGACGCCGCCCUUGGAGACACGGUCCUCACCCUCAACGUGACGCAGCCGGAACUCCUGAC